This 254-nucleotide ribosomal RNA is filed under the name uncultured bacterium. RNAcentral describes it as "partial 16S ribosomal RNA". It matches the Rfam family "Bacterial small subunit ribosomal RNA", at positions 524 to 776 of the family's 1533-position model. The record is from RNAcentral.
UACGUAGGGUGCGAGCGUUGUCCGGAAUUAUUGGGCGUAAAGAGCUCGUAGGCGGUGUGUCACGUCGAUCGUGAAAACUUACAGCUUAACUGUGAGCGUGCGGUCGAUACGGGCAUCACUGGAGUUCGGCAGGGGAGACUGGAAUUCCUGGUGUAGCGGUGAAAUGCGCAGAUAUCAGGAGGAACACCGGUGGCGAAGGCGGGUCUCUGGGCAGUAACUGACGCUGAGGAGCGAAAGCGUGGGGAGCGAACAGG